AAUGGACUAAGUAGGAUUUCUGAGAUACUAAUGGACUAUGUAUGAAGUAUGAAUAUUAAUGGUAAUUACGGUCUGAUGAUGGUGAAGUGGGUGAUGAAGUGACUAUGGAUGAGGAUUAUUAAUGAAUUCAGAUUAAUGAUCAGUUGAUAAUUAGAUGAUGGGUAAUGAUGGACGAAUUAUUGUUAUAUUGAUAGUAUGAUGUGGAUUAAUAUAAUUAAUAAUAAUAGUAUUCGUAAAUGAUUAAAGAAUAGAUUGGUUCACAGGUUUCCUGUUUAAAGUGGCUAGUUAGGAGUUGAGCCUAGAUCGAGUGUUGGCUUUGGAAGCUUAGCUUGAGGUAAGUUUCUAUGUCCGUUUAAAUUACUUUGCCCUAUUAAAUGUGCUACUUAUUUAAGUUGUUUACUUAAAUUAUUUUAAAAUGUAUUUUGGAUCAA
Long non-coding RNA from Ipomoea nil (Japanese morning glory), 431 nucleotides. RefSeq lists it as uncharacterized. NCBI's taxonomy places the organism in Eukaryota, Viridiplantae, Streptophyta, Magnoliopsida, Solanales, Convolvulaceae. The record is from RefSeq and is a predicted model, not a curated record. The transcript is spliced from 3 exons.